This 481-nucleotide ribosomal RNA is filed under the name uncultured bacterium. RNAcentral's name for it is "partial 16S ribosomal RNA". It matches the Rfam family "Bacterial small subunit ribosomal RNA", at positions 28 to 507 of the family's 1533-position model. The record is from RNAcentral.
GAUGAACGCUGGCGGCGUGCCUAACACAUGCAAGUCGAACGGAGAUUACGGACGGAAGUUUUCGGAUGGAAGACUGUAAUUCUUAGUGGCGGACGGGUGAGUAACGCGUGGGCAACCUGCCCUAUACAGGGGGAUAGCAGCUGGAAACGGCUGGUAAGACCGCAUAAGUCGGUUAAAUCGCAUGAUUUGAUCGGGGAAUGAGCAAUCAGGUAUAGGAUGGGCCCGCGUCCGAUUAGCCAGUUGGCAGGGUAAAAGCCUACCAAAGCGACGAUCGGUAGCCGGACUGAGAGGUCGGACGGCCACAUUGGGACUGAGACACGGCCCAAACUCCUACGGGAGGCAGCAGUGGGGGAUAUUGCACAAUGGAGGAAACUCUGAUGCAGCGACGCCGCGUGAGUGAAGAAGUAUUUCGGUAUGUAAAGCUCUAUCAGCAGGGAAGAUGAUGACGGUACCUGACUAAGAAGCCCCGGCUAACUACGUG